RNAcentral lists this ribosomal RNA (253 nucleotides) under uncultured bacterium. RNAcentral describes it as "partial 16S ribosomal RNA". It matches the Rfam family "Bacterial small subunit ribosomal RNA", at positions 524 to 776 of the family's 1533-position model. The record is from RNAcentral.
UACGUAGGGGGCAAGCGUUGUCCGGAAUCAUUGGGCGUAAAGAGCGUGUAGGCGGCCCGAUAAGUCCGCUGUGAAAGUCCAGGGCCCAACCCUGGGAUGCCGGUGGAUACUGUCGGGCUCGAGUCCGGAAGAGGAGUGUGGAAUUCCUGGUGUAGCGGUGAAAUGCGCAGAUAUCAGGAGGAACACCGAUGGCGAAGGCAGCUCGCUGGGACGGUACUGACGCUGAGGCGCGAAAGCGUGGGGAGCAAACAGG